UGGGGAUUAUUGCACAAUGGGCGCAAGCCUGAUGCAGCCAUGCCGCGUGUAUGAAGAAGGCCUUCGGGUUGUAAAGUACUUUCAGCGGGGAGGAAGGGAGUAAAGUUAAUACCUUUGCUCAUUGACGUUACCCGCAGAAGAAGCACCGGCUAACUCCGUGCCAGCAGCCGCGGUAAUACGGAGGGUGCAAGCGUUAAUCGGAAUUACUGGGCGUAAAGCGCACGCAGGCGGUUUGUUAAGUCAGAUGUGAAAUCCUCGGGCUCAACCUGGGAACUGCAUCUGAUACUGGCAAGCUUGAGUCUCGUAGAGGGGGGUAGAAUUCCAGGUGUAGCGGUGAAAUGCGUAGAGAUCUGGAGGAAUACCGGUGGCGAAGGCGGCCCCCUGGACGAAGACUGACGCUCAGGUGCGAAAGCGUGGGGAGCAAACAGG
Molecule: ribosomal RNA, 429 nt
Filed under: Chloroflexota bacterium
Lineage: Bacteria; Bacillati; Chloroflexota
Description: Chloroflexi bacterium partial 16S ribosomal RNA
Rfam family: Bacterial small subunit ribosomal RNA
Source: RNAcentral